Molecule: ribosomal RNA, 253 nt
Filed under: uncultured bacterium
Lineage: Bacteria
Description: partial 16S ribosomal RNA
Rfam family: Bacterial small subunit ribosomal RNA
Source: RNAcentral
UACAGAGGGUGCAAGCGUUAAACGGAAUUACUGGGCGUAAAGCGUGCGUAGACGGUUAUGUAAGUCAGGUGUGAAAGCCCCGGGCUCAACCUGGGAAUUGCAUUUGAGACUGCAUAGCUAGGGUGCGGAAGAGGGAAGCGGAAUUUCCGGUGUAGCGGUGAAAUGCGUAGAUAUCGGAAGGAACACCUGUGGCGAAAGCGGCGCACUGGACCACAACUGACGCUGAGGCGCGAAAGCUAGGGGAGCAAACAGG